CCUACGGGUGGCAGCAGGGAGGAAUAUUGGUCAAUGGGCGCGAGCCUGAACCAGCCAAGUAGCGUGAAGGAUGACUGCCCUACGGGUUGUAAACUUCUUUUAUAAAGGAAUAAAGUGAGGCACGUGUGCCUUUUUGUAUGUACCUUAUGAAUAAGGAUCGGCUAACUCCGUGCCAGCAGCCGCGGUAAUACGGAGGAUCCGAGCGUUAUCCGGAUUUAUUGGGUUUAAAGGGAGCGUAGAUGGGUUGUUAAGUCAGUUGUGAAAGUUUGCGGCUCAACCGUAAAAUUGCAAUUGAUACUGGCGGUCUUGAGUGCAGUUGAGGUAGGCGGAAUUCGUGGUGUAGCGGUGAAAUGCUUAGAUAUCACGAAGAACUCCGAUUGCGAAGGCAGCUUACUGAACUGCAACUGACGUUGAUGCUCGAAAGUGUGGGUAUCAAACAGGAUUAGAUACCCCAGUAGUC
Molecule: ribosomal RNA, 460 nt
Filed under: uncultured bacterium
Lineage: Bacteria
Description: partial 16S ribosomal RNA
Rfam family: Bacterial small subunit ribosomal RNA
Source: RNAcentral